This 172-nucleotide ribosomal RNA is filed under the name Pristionchus sp. MJ-2005. RNAcentral's name for it is "5.8S ribosomal RNA". The stretch from base 9 to 158 matches the Rfam family "5.8S ribosomal RNA". From Rfam's summary of the family: 5.8S ribosomal RNA (5.8S rRNA) is a component of the large subunit of the eukaryotic ribosome. It is transcribed by RNA polymerase I as part of the 45S precursor that also contains 18S and 28S rRNA. Functionally, it is thought that 5.8S rRNA may be involved in ribosome translocation. The record is from RNAcentral. Lineage: Eukaryota; Metazoa; Nematoda; Chromadorea; Rhabditida; Neodiplogasteridae.
AUACGUACUAGCUUCAGCGAUGGAUCGGUUGCAUCGAGUAUCGAUGAAGAACGCAGCUUGUUGCGUUACUUACCACGAAUUGGAGACGCUUAGAGUGGGGAAAUUUCGAACGCCUAGCACCGACUGGGUCUCCAGCCGGUACGUCUGGUUCAGGGUUGUUUAACUCACUGCC